This is a small nucleolar RNA of Pygocentrus nattereri (red-bellied piranha), 133 nucleotides long. Its record names the gene U8. It matches the Rfam family "U8 small nucleolar RNA". From Rfam's summary of the family: U8 is a member of the C/D class of snoRNA which contain the C (UGAUGA) and D (CUGA) box motifs. U8 is the RNA component of a small complex (the U8 snoRNP) which is required for accumulation of mature large subunit ribosomal RNAs, 5.8S and 28S rRNAs. NCBI's taxonomy places the organism in Eukaryota, Metazoa, Chordata, Actinopteri, Characiformes, Serrasalmidae. The record is from Ensembl.
ACUUCAGUGAGGUUGAUCCUUACCUGUUGGCCUUAGAAAUAAGGCAGCAGAACAUGAUGAUCGGAUUUAAUGACUGCGUGAUUAUGUCCCGCGUUCAUCAGGAAGCAACAACUCCUGCUGAAUCCUAUCUGAC